RNAcentral lists this long non-coding RNA (245 nucleotides) under Elaeis guineensis (African oil palm). Its description in RNAcentral is "long non-coding RNA (EGUI_LNC072132)". The record is from RNAcentral. Lineage: Eukaryota; Viridiplantae; Streptophyta; Magnoliopsida; Arecales; Arecaceae.
CCUCUCCUCUCUCUCUCCCUCUGUUUCCCUCUCUUUCUUCUCUGGCACCAACGUGUGCCGUUUUCUCCAUCGGAACCAUUUCGGUUCCCUGCCGGUAUGAUUUGGUACGUUCCAAACUGACCGGUUCGGAACAGUUCCGAAAAUUAUUUGUAAACAUUAUAGAAUCUAAGGCCGGACCAGCAGAAGAUCCAAACUUACAUCUGGUAGAAAUAAGCAAAUCAGUACCUUCCUUCGUUCCCCUUAAU